Molecule: non-coding RNA, 267 nt
Filed under: Paenibacillus sp.
Lineage: Bacteria; Bacillati; Bacillota; Bacilli; Caryophanales; Paenibacillaceae
Description: T-box sequence
Rfam family: T-box leader
About the family: Uncharged tRNA acts as the effector for transcription antitermination of genes in the T-box leader family.
Source: RNAcentral
UCAAAUGCGAUGAAGAGAAGAGUAAAUAAAUGAAUUCUUUCACAGAGAGCUCCGGUUUGCUGAAAAGGAGUGAAGAGUACUUUAUUGAAAAAAGCCUCAGAGCAGCUCAUCGGAUCCUUUUGAAAAGAGUGAUGGUGUGUCAGGAGCUCCUGUUACAGAGCUAAAGUAUACGCAUUACAUGGUAAUGCCGUACUUGAAGAGGCUGAUAUGGCGACAUAUUAGCGAAUUUGGGGUGGUACCACGAGUAUAUACAAUCUCGUCCCUAAG